RNAcentral lists this ribosomal RNA (253 nucleotides) under uncultured bacterium. Its description in RNAcentral is "partial 16S ribosomal RNA". It matches the Rfam family "Bacterial small subunit ribosomal RNA", at positions 524 to 776 of the family's 1533-position model. The record is from RNAcentral.
UACGAAGGGGGCUAGCGUUGCUCGGAAUCACUGGGCGUAAAGGGCGCGUAGGCGGCCGAUCAAGUCGGAGGUGAAAGCCCAGGGCUCAACCCUGGAAUGGCCUUCGAUACUGGUUGGCUCGAGACCGGAAGAGGUCAGUGGAACUGCGAGUGUAGAGGUGAAAUUCGUAGAUAUUCGCAAGAACACCAGUGGCGAAGGCGGCUGACUGGUCCGGUUCUGACGCUGAGGUGCGAAAGCGUGGGGAGCAAACAGG